GCAGCUCCUCCCCCAGGGCGCCCUCCGGCCCCAGCAACAGCAGCACCAGGCACGUCAGGGCUAGUGCGCACGCGCACCGCAGAACCGGAGCCUGGAGGCGGCGAAGCAGACCAAGGGGCGGGCGGUCAUGUGACGCCCGGACCCGCGACUUGUGGCCGGCAGGGCGAGCUGGGGCACGGGGACCGCUCUGACCCAGGGACGUGUCUGCCUCUGGGACGUAGACAGGUGCACGAGCGCCGUAAGGGAUGUCCAGGUGCCCAGGCCGAAUGGUGCACCCCUGGACGUGCACAGCUGAAGGAUACAGCCACAAGAACAGACAUGUAUGGCAGAGGCCAGGAAAGUUCCAACCAUGGAGCUUCCAGUCGUCCUCUCUCACGGAGUUGUGGACAGCAUUACCUGCCCAGCAAUGAUAUGUGACAAUAUGCAUGACUGCUGCCAACCGGGGAAGCUCACCCGAGCCUGGGUGUCCAGACUCCCUCAUUUAUUGGGGCCCCUUCACAUAGGCGCGGUUGACCACCACGUGGCUGAUCUGUCUCCAGUCCCUCUGGAGGUUGAGGGCACUCAGUGCAGGGGAGAAGAGAAGGUCCAAAGAGAAGUUCAGGCCUCCAGGUCAUAGUCUUUUCAGAAAAUCCACUUGGGCCCUUGGAUUAUGGCAACCCAGUUUCUGACAGCAGGGACUCAGGGCUUGGGUGGGGGGAUGCUGGGUUACUCUGGUCAGGCCCUCCUCCAAAGAAUUAAGAUCCCAGUGCAUAAGACAGGGAGAUAGGAGUGAGAGGAAACACAGUGCGUGGUGGGCUAGGGAGGAGCGUUCAGGAAAAGAGAUGGUCAGUCCUGGGAAGGGCAGUGAGGGGCCCAGUGAGACUCUCUCACAGUGCUUGGGAGCCCCCUCCCCCACCUCCUAUCCCCAACCCCAACGCUGGUUCACGCAGGGAAGCGAUGGCAUCCUCCCUCCUGGCCCCCCGAGGCUGAAUGCUCACCACUCCAGGGUCCUGGGUCUGGCUGCCCAAGGAUUCUGUGGUGGACUCAGGAGGGGAGACCUCCAGCACUAGACAAACUCCCCAGGUUUUAACUCUUACCAAGAAUGGGUCAUUUUUGGUAACUGCAGUGGGGGAAGCAGGAGUGGGCUACUGGGGAGGGGUGCUCAGGAUCCCACAGUGGCAGAACGCAGCAAUUCCCUACAUCACACACCCACCCCCACACCCCCACGCAGGCUGUGAGUGCAGACGUGUGCAUAUGCACAGACACAGCAUAUUGCUACCCUCAUAUGUGCAUCUGUGCACACAGACACACAAAUGCAUCAUGAACACAGUCAUGCACAUGUAAACACAUACCCACAGAUGUGUCCUUGCACACACCUCGGGCACACUUAGACCCAUGCUUGCUGUCUGUGUGUGCUAGUACACACCUCACAGGUUUCUGCCCACCUGGCUCAGGAAGGCCCAGAGCUCCUAAGGGGACGCUGCCACCUGAGCACUUCUUUCUGCCUACCCCAGGGCUGGUCCUUUGGGAGGGUGUAGGGGUCAACCAGAAGGGGGAGUGCCCAGGGAGUUCCUGCCAUCAGCACUGACUGUACCCUCCUCUCCCUGCACCUCCAUCAUAGGCCCUGAGGCCUGCUGCCAGGACCUGAGCACUCCCAGUCGGCUUUGGGUGAUGGUGGCCACCCCCCCACUCUCUGUAUUGGUGGGGGUGGGAGGGC
RNAcentral lists this long non-coding RNA (1696 nucleotides) under Equus caballus (horse). RNAcentral's name for it is "lncRNA (ENSECAG00000049986.1)". Lineage: Eukaryota; Metazoa; Chordata; Mammalia; Perissodactyla; Equidae. The record is from RNAcentral.